ACGGGAGGCAGCAGUGGGGAAUAUUGCGCAAUGGAGGAAACUCUGACGCAGUGACGCCGCGUAUGGGAAGAAGGUUUUCGGAUUGUAAACCAUUGUCGUUAGGGAAGAAAAAAAUGACAGUACCUAAGGAGGAAGCACCGGCUAACUAUGUGCCAGCAGCCGCGGUAAUACAUAGGGUGCGAGCGUUAUCCGGAUUUAUUGGGUGUAAAGGGUGCGUAGGCGGGAAUUUAAGUUGGUUGUGAAAUCCCUCGGCUCAACUGAGGAACUGCAACCAAAACUGGAUUUCUUGAGUGCUGGAGAGGAAAGUGGAAUUCCUAGUGUAGCGGUGAAAUGCGUAGAUAUUAGGAGGAACACCAGUGGCGAAGGCGACUUUCUGGACAGCAACUGACGUUGAGGCACGAAAGUGUGGGGAGCAAACAGGAUUAGAUACCCUGGUA
The sequence is a ribosomal RNA, 437 nucleotides long. It matches the Rfam family "Bacterial small subunit ribosomal RNA", at positions 341 to 792 of the family's 1533-position model.